UUAUUAUCCGAUCACUUAUUUUGACAUUCAUAUUGCAACGACUCGACCCGCUAGCAACAAUAACUCGUUGGACCCAAACCAUCGGCCCAAAAUGCUUAAGCCCAGUUAUUACUAUUAGCGUGUAGACCUCAUAUAAACUAAUCGAAAUCAGUAUCCCAUCCGAUGUGGGACUAUUAGGGGCGUUACAAACUCCCCCUGUUUAGACCCUGACGUCCUCGUCGGGUCCAAACUAGAUCACAGAUAGACAGACUAGGACCAUUACAAGGCAAUGUGAGAUUCUAGAGGUGGCUCCUACGGGUUCAAGAGGUGGCUCCUAUCAAACCCGUUGGUGUAGCACUUUGUCCCGCAUAGCACUUAGUUCUCACACUUCCGACUGGUAUUCGAUUCUGAUACCAAUUGCAACGACCUGACCCACUAGCAACAAUAACUCGUUGGAUCCAAACCAUCGGCCCAAAAUGCUUAAGCCUGGUUAUUAUUACUAGCGUGUAGGCCUCAUAUAAACUGAUCAGAAUAGUAUCCCAUCUGAUGUGGGACUAUUGGAGGCGUUACAAACUCCCCCUGUUUAGACCCUACCAUGACGUCCUCGUCGGGUCCAAAUCAGAUCACAGACAGACAGAUCCGAUGUGGGACUAUUGGGAGCGUUACAAACUCCCCAUGUUUAGACCCUACCCUGACGUCCUCGUCGGGUCCAAACCAGAUUACAGACAGACAGACCAGGACCAUUACCAGGCGAUGUGAGAUUCUAGAGAUAGCUCCUACGGGUUCAAGAGGUGGCUCCCACCAAACCCGUUGGUGUAGCACUUUGUCUCGCAUAGCACUUAGUUUUCACACUUCCGGCUAGUAUUUGGCUCUGAUGCCAAUUGCAACGACCCGACCCGCUAGCAACAAUAACUCGUUGGAUCCAAACCACCGGCCCAAAAUGUUUAAGCCCAGUUAUUAUUACUAGCGUGUAGGCCUUAUGUAAAUCGAUCGAAAUCAGUAUCCCACCCGAUGUGGGACUAUUGAGGGUGUUACAAACUCCCCCUAUUUAGACCCUGACGUCCUCGUCGGGUCCAAACCAGAUCACAAACAGACAAAUCAAGACCAGAAUUACUAGGCAAUGUUAGAUUCUAGAGGUGGUUCCUACGGGUUCAAGAGGUGGCUCCCACCAAACCCGUUGGUGUAACACUUUGUCCCGCAUAGCACUUAGUUCUCACACUUCCGACUGGUAUUCGUCUCUGAUACCAAUUGCAACGACCCGACCCGCUAGCAAUAAUAACUCGUUGGGCCAAACCACCGGCCAAAAAUGCUUAAGCCCAGUUAUUAUUAUUAGCGUGUAGGCCUCAUGUAAACCGAUCGAAAUUAGUAUCCCGCCCGAUGUGGGACUAUUGAGGGCGUUACAAACUCCCCCUAUUUAGACCCUACCCUGACAUCCUCGUCAGGUCCAAACCAGAUCGCAGACAGACAGACCAGUAUCGUUAUUAGGCGAUGUGAGAUUCUAGAUGUAGCUCCUACGGGUUCAAGAGGUGGCUCCCACCAAACCCGUUGGUGUAGCACUUUGUCCCACAUAGCACUUAGUUCUCACACUUCCGGCCGAUAUUCGGUUCUGAUACCAAUUGCAACGACCCGAUCCGCUAGCAAUAAUAACUAGUUUGACCCAAACAAUCGGUCUAAAAUGCUUAAGCCCAGUUAUUAUUACUAGCAUGUAGGCCUCAUGUAAACCGAUCGAAAUCAGUAUCCCACCCGAUGUGUGGGACUAUUGAGGGCGUUACACAUAUAUUAUGCCGUACGAAAUAAAGAAAAAUGGUAGAAUAAUACGGAUUAUAUGAUUGAACAUUUAUUAGUAUUAUUAUUACUAUUUUGGUAUAAAAUAACGGUGACGAUUGAUUUGGGACUUGAUCUUAUCUACAUCCUGGUCCGCAGUUUGGGUCCCAUCGCUGUUAAUCUGGACCGUGCACCCGGUGCCACCGACAACGGAGAAAAGCACUGUUGGAGCCCACCGGGCUCCACCCAAAACCAGGAUCCAGCGGUGAGAGUGGGCCCCACCAUAUAUAGAGUAUGAACGACUGAACCACCAGUGGGGAUCCACUGUUUUAAUUUUCGAAUCCGACGCACCCGACGCCCCGCCCGGAGCAACUACUGCAACUAUAAUAUACACCUUACCCACCAACCAUACACACCCCCUGUGGGCCCCACCACUGUGACCGGGAUAUCGCGCCAAAUUUAGGUACCAGGGAAAUAACUAUAUAUCAGCAAAAAAAUAAAAAAUGCCCACGUGGGUAGGAUAUAAUAAUAUUAAUAUUAAUAGAGUGGUAGACUUGGCAUUAUGGAUAUUAAUAUUUUUAGAAAAAUACUUUUUGUGUGUCGGAAAAGUGUAGUAUAGAUCUUAUACUUCACGUCCAGAGUUGAUAAAAUUUUAAAUAAUUUUUAGUAAAAAUAAAAAAUUAAUGGCAUUGGGAUUGAAUGAGCAUAAGAUAUACACCCACUUCAGAAUGUACUGAUAGUAUCGCUUCAAAAAAAUAUUUUAUUUAUACACCAAAAAAGGAGGGUGUAGAUUUUAUAUAUUAUCUUAAAGUUUAUAAAAUUUCAAAUAAUUUUUAGUAAAAUAAAAAAAAAUUGAUAUGAUAAGUUAAAAAUUAAUAAUUCUUAAAUAAAAUAGGUGUAAGAUGCAAAUAUUAUUUUAUAGUGUACCAAUAGCAUUGCUUAUUUCAAAAUAAACUAUAGUUGGGUUGUCUUUCCUUUUCACCUUUACGUUCUAGAUUAUAGUAACCUUAUAUUUAAAGUGUGGUAAAAUAAAUAAGAACACUAUUACCGGGUACCGUCAAAAGAGAAUGCACAUCAUACACCAUUUUAUUUAAGGGCAAAGAAUCAGUCGUUGUUUUCAAUUUUUUUUAAAUACUAAAAAUUUUAAAUUUUUCUAAAUUUUAGAGGGAGUGUGAGACGUACGCAGCAUUGGCAUUUCUUAAUAAAUAUUUCAUUUGCUUUUAGUCAUGAAUGGUUAAUAGAAUAAGUAGAGUAAUUUGAUUGAAAAAGUAUUCAGAAUAAUUAAAUUUAACAAAUCUACUAUUAAUAAAAAAAAAAUUAAAAAAAUGGUUAAGUUAUCAAUUUUAAAUUGGCUUAUAGCUUAAGAAAUUUUUUUUUUAAAAUGUGACAGUCACAUAGCUAACACAGUAUCUCCAAUCAAUCACAUUUGAUCUUAAAAUUGACCUAUUCUAUCAUAAGUUUUUUCAAAUAUUUUUACUAUAUGUUUUUUAAAAAAUGUAAUUAAUUAAAUAUAAAAUAAUAUGGUGCAACUAUUAGGCAGUUUAUUCUGAAGCAAAUUUCUAUCCUAAUAUAUUUUUUUAAUAGAGAAAGGUAGCAUAUUAUUCUGAAAAUAUGAUGUUAUUCGCGGUUUUCAUUAAAAGUUAUUAUUAUUAGGAGCACAGUAGGGCCAUUCCGCACCGUCCGCCUAAAAUACCUAACGGCCCAGAUGAUCCGAUGGAAACGUGACUUAAAAGCCCAGCGAAAAGCGGGGCCCACUUUGACCGAGUCGUGGUCAGAGCUCACCAUAGUCACGUGUCCUCAUCAUCUAAUUAUGCGCACGUCUCGUCCUUCGACGCACGCAAUCGCCGCAUAAUGAUCAGCCUAUGUAUAUAUGUACUAAGAUAUUUUUAUUUAACUUUUUGCAUGUCAAAAUACUAAUAUUUUGUAUACCAAUGAUUUAGCAGUAUUUUUUUUUAUUGUUAAAGAUAUUUUAUUAUAGCGAAAGGACCUAAAAAAAAAUCCUGAAAACAUUAUAGAGAUAUACAUUAUUGUGCUUUAAUUAAUAAAAUAAUAAUAAUAAGUUAACUACAUUACAACACAAUUUAUAUAUCAUUUUAAAGAUCUAAUUUUAUGAAGAAUAAAAGAAGAGGAAAAAAAAAACCCUAUUUUUUAUCGAAUAAAUGAGAUGAGCUUUUGAAAAUUUCCCUCUAAUGAGAUUCGCACUUUUUUUUUUUUUGUUUCAGAAAAAUGAGAAACAUUAGAGGGGGUUAAGUGCAAAGGACCGUCCGAUCUAGAUCCGACGGAUCUCGAUCGCCCCUCCGAUCUCGCGUCACAGAUCCGCUCGAAAAACGACAAACGCGCUAAACAACAACAACGAGAUCGAUCGAUCGAUCGCUAGGGUUUUUUGUUACCUUUCCGAUGAACGCGGCGCUCCCGCCGAGCUUGGCGAUGGCGACGGCGACGUUCGCCGGGGCUCCGCCGGGGGCCUUGAGGAACCCCGUCGACUCCGCGAGCGACACCCCCGCCGCGUCGGGGACGAAGUCGAUGAGCAUCUCCCCCCCCGACGACCCCUUCGUCUUCUCCGCCUCUCCUAUCGCCAUUGUCGCACCUUCCCGAGCUCCGCUCCGAUCGAAAAUGAGAAGAGAGAAUAGAGGAGAAUGAGGAGAGGAGGGGGUGGGGGUUUAUAUAGUCCGAUCGAAAAUGAGAAGAGAGAAGAGAGAAUAGAGGAGAAUGAGGAGAGGAGGGGGUGGGGGUUUAUAUAGGGAGGCGAUGUGAGUUGCAUUGGACUUAAAAAUAAGGGAGAGGGGUGAUGAGAUUUUUAAUUUAAAUUAAGUUUAAUUAAUUAAUGAUUUGGAUUUAUCCGUAACUAUUUAUGCCCUUUAUCUUUUGGAACAAAUUAGGGUUUCUAGUUCUGAUAAUUUUAAUAAAAUUUCACUAUAGUCCUUAAAAUUUAAUAAUAUUUGUUUGGACCGCAAAAAUAUUUACGUCGUAUUUGAUUGAGCGAGGACCAAACUGAAAAACGUCAAAAAAGUAUGGGGACUCGUGGUGCAAUUUGCCCUCAUGCUUUUUUUUAAAUCUUAAUUUGGUAACGUGACACGUGGUAUCUUGAUUCAUUUAGAGGCGGUUUGGUUUGACGUAAAAUUGGAAAAAAAAAAUUUCGAUGGAAAAAUUUUUUUUGAAGGAAAAUAAAUUUUACGCUUUCAAGCGUCUGAUUUGUAGAAAAAAAAAAUAGUUUUUCGUUAGAGUUGUUUGGUUGUUAGUUGAAAGAAAAAACAAUUUAUAAAUAAAAAUUAAUGUAUAUAUAUAUAUAUUUAUUAUAUUUAUAUAUAGUAUUGAUAUAUAAUAAUGAUCAUAUUACAUAUAUUUAAAGGUGUCCAAAAUAUCCUAUAUCCCAUAUCCGAUCCGGACCCUAUCCGGACCCGAACCGGACCCGAACCGGACCCGAUAAAAAAUGAAUAGUAUACGGAUAAAAAAAAUUACCCAUUAAAGUUUCGGGUAUGGGUCCGGAUAUUUUAUACCCAUACUCGAUUUGGAUCUGACCCGAACCUAACUUUUAAAUGGGUAGGGUCCGGAAUAGUUUUCAAAUCCGAACCCGGAUCCGGACCCGAUGAAAUAUCCGAUAGUAAAUAAAAAAAAAUAAACUUUUGAAGUUGAAGGAUCAAUUUUAAUAUGACUUAUAGAUAAUGAGUCACUACGUAUUUUUAUCCUAAUGAAACCCUAGCUAUCUCUUUUACUCAUUACUUUUUUCUAAUUUUUUUACUCUUUAUUUUCUACUCCUUUUUUUUCAUUUCAUUUCCGCCAACAAUAUUUCAUUGUCAUCAUCAUCAUCAGUGUCAUCAUCAUCAUCAGCGACAAUAUUUCUUUUGAAUGAAUUUUAUUGGACGGUACAACUUAUUAGAAUGCGAGUUUUUUUAUGGUGCGCUUUAUAGUUUGUCUAUUGACUAUUUAAUAAAGUUUAUAAAAAAUAUAUAUUUAUACGGAUAUCCGUACCCGAUCUAGAUCCGAUCAAUAUCCGGUCUUGAACGGGUAGUAUACGGGUAGUCACUACCCAGACCCGCUCAAAUAGACCCGAUCGGUAUAUUAGUAACUUUAGUACCCAGAUCCGGACCCAACGCGAAGUUAAAUGGGUAGGGUAUAUAUAUAUUUUUGUAACCAUUUCUUUUUAGGUAUGGGUACAGUAUUAUUAAUUACCAGACCGACCCGGUCCACGGACAUCUUUACAUAUAUUAGAAUUAUAAUUUAUCUACUUAUAAAAAAUAUUUAAAAUAUAUUAUACAUUAAUUAAAUAUAUAAUAAAUAUAUAAUAAUAUAUAUUUAAUACUAUAAAAUAAGUUAUUGUGUAUUUAUUAAAUAAUAUUCAUAUAUAAAAUAUUACACAUAAUAUAUUUAAAAAAUAAUAAAUAAUAUAAUAUAUAUAUUAUAUAUAUAUAUAUAAUAUUAUAUAUAUAUUAGUAGGUCAUAUGCUAUCAGAAAGUACGGAGCCUUUCGUACUUCCAGCUCGUUUCGAUAUUGUAACUUUUCGAAUCGUCGAUCGGCUCCGUUAAAACUUGAUCUAGAGUAUUUGGAGUACCUAGAAAAUAAAUUUUAUUAUUUUUCGAUAUCAUUAGCCUAGUAUCGAAUGGGCUCAAAAUCAAUAAAUUUCAAUAGUCGUAGUGAGCGUUUGCAAGUUUAACGGUGUGAAAAUAUCCAAAUCCUGUGAAAUUUUUGAUAGAAAAUUCUUUAUACUGUAUAAACAAGAUCAAUAUCUUUGAUUUAAAAUUUUAAUGUCAUAUUAUUACAUUUUGUAAGAUUUUUAUUUUCAGCCGUUGAUUUUUACCCCUUCGUUCACUAGGCAAAUGAUAUCGUAAAUCAUAAAUUUAUUUUCUAGGUACUUCAAAUACUUUAGAUCAAGUUUAACGGAAGCGAUCGACGAAUUGAAAGUGCAAUAAUCGAAAACGAGCUAGAAGCACGGAAGGUUCCGUGCUUCCGAUAGCAUAGUAGCCUCACUCUAAUAUAUAUAUAUUUAUAUAUAUAUAUAUAAUUAGGCUGGAAUAAUAUUAAUAGUAAAACGCUUUUUUGAUAUCAAGUUUUUAAUCCUUGGAUGAAAAUUUGUAGAGGUCAGAGAUGAUAUUUAGUCGUGUUAGAGUUUAAUGGUCCCCUAGGGUUGAAUGGUUCCACAUAGGUUAUAGUAUUUAAUCCAAUGGUUAGAAAGAUAAUAAUGAAAAGAGUUGAUCCAAAUGCUGAAAAAUCUACAAGCACCAAUGUUUGGUACUUUUAAAGCAUAAGGUAGCUCAUUUAUUAUAUAUAUAUAUAUAUAGAAUUAGACUACUAUACUAUCUAUAGUACCGGAGCUCCAGUACUAUAGUCUUGUUUUCGAUCUUAGGAUGUUCAAAUUAACAAUCCACACCGUUAAAUAUGAUCUAGGAUAUAUGAAGUUCUUAGAAAUAAAAUUUUAGUUUUUUUCGACAUCGUUUACUUAGUAAAUAAAUUAUGUCAAAAUGGACGGUGAAAAUUGAAUAAUCUUUCAAAUUUGAGCAUAAGACUUUUAAAUUCAAGAUAAAAAAUAUUAACCUUAAUCUAGAUAGUUUAAAGUAUUUUCUAUCAAAAUUUGCAGAAAUUUAGAUUCUUCUACACCGUUAAACUCCAAACUCGCGAAAAUAGCCAUUGAAAAUUGACAAUUUUGAAAUGGUUUGAUAUAAAAUAAACUAUGUAGAAAAAAAUAUAAAAUUUUAUUUUUAAAAACUUUAAAUACCCUAGAUCAGUUUUAAUGGUGUGAAUCGUUGAUUUGAAUAUCGUAAGAUCGAAAACGAGACUAUACUACCGGAGCUCCGGUACUAUAGAUAGUAUAGAAGGCUAGCUCUCUCUCUCUCUCUCUAUAUAUAUAUAUAAAAUGAAAGAGAGAGAGAGCACGGGUCCACAUGCUUCUCGGACUCUCUCUCUCUCACGCGGUCCACGAGGUGAAAGGCACCUCGUGGACCGUGCGCAAAAAAGCCUCCUGAGCCGUGAUUUUUUGUACGGUGGUUUUCGUUUUCCACUCGCUACGAGCGGAAAACGAAAACUUCGGAUUUUCUGAGAAUACGUAAAAAUCUUUUUCCUUGAAAAUUUUUUUACUGAUCACCAAACAUCAAAAAGUAAAAUUUUACAUGGAAAAAAAAUUUUCGGCUAGUUUAAUUUGCAGAGUACCAAACACGCCCUUAGUUGGGAUUUGACCAGCGACUAUUGCGGGGUCCACCGUGUAUUUCGGGACGAGUAAGAUUUUUGUGUAGCAAGGAUGUUAUUUGUAAUUAAAUAGGGUGGCAAUUUGUGAUACAACAUAAAAUAUUAAUCAAUUAUGAUUAAAGAGUAUAUAUAUUUAAAAUUUACAUUAUAUAAAUUUAUCUACUUCAAAAAUAAUACAGUAUGAGAUGAUGUAACACUAAUGAAAAUUAUCUUAAUAUUUCGGAAAAGUUCUCUAAUUAUCUAACACCAAUGAAAAUUUAUCUAAUUUAUCAUAGCAUAAGCAUAAAUAUAAGAUGCAUGUCCUACUUAAGAAUACAACAGAUUACAGAUUCCUCAAUUGAUUACUUAAUUACUAGCAAAAAAUUUUGUUACGAACAAAAAUUCUUUCGCAUGUACGAUCACCGUAACGGAAAUAUAAUGUGUGACGUAUGCCCUACUUUUUAAGCAUACUAUGAGUUUCUCGGAAAGUAUUUUAAACCUAAUCGAUGAUUCAAUUUUGUAACAAAUAUGGUGAAUCACUAGUUUAAAUUUUCAAAUUUAAAUAUAAAGCUUGAGCUGAGUAUUAAAUUCAAAAAAGUAAACCAUCAAUAAGAUCUGUCCUACGUGCAUUCAAGAUUCAAAAAUAAAUAAAUAAAUAAACAGAAAUAAGUAGUGAGCUCUUGACCCAUCUCCUUUAUCCUCAUUUAAACAAGCAAAGUAAAUACAGAAAAUGGUUUGAGCACUAUUUGGCACAAGCUUAAUACCAUAUCAGUACAAUAUAUAUAUAUAUAUAUAUAUAUAUAUAUAUAUAUAUAUAUAUAUAUAUAUAAUAGGGCUACUAUAUUAUUAUGAGUAUUCGGUCCUUCAUACUCAUAAGUUGUUUUUAAUGAUGGAGCUUCGGAAUCGACGAUCCACUCCGUUAAACAUGAUCUAGAGUAUUUGAAACUUUUAAAAAAUAAAUUUCGUAAUUUUUCGAAAUUAUAAUAAAGUCUAUCAAGUGGGCAUAAAAUGAACGGUUAAAAUCGAACGAUGUCUUAAAAAUGGAUGAUCGGAUCCUUCAAUUUAAGAUCGGAGUUAUUGACCUUUAUCUAGGUAGUGAAUAGAAUUUUCUAUUAAAAAUUCAACCUAUUCAGAUUCUUUUGCACCGUUAAACUAGCAAGUAUUCCANUAUAUAUAUAUAUAUAUAUAUAUAUAUAUAUAUAUAUGUAGUAUGACCUAACGAUUAGAAAUGAUGAAAGGGAUAAAUCUAACGGUAGAAAAUUCGAUUUCGAUAGCACCAAGCGCUUGGUGCUAUCGAUAGACUCUCUCUCUCUCUCUCUCUAUAUAUAUAUAUAAUGAAAUUUUUACUUUUGUGAAUAAAUAAGAAAAAGAAGAUGUUCUUGAGACUGAAAUUUCUCUUGCAUUGACAUGACAAAGUCAAAUCUUAUCUUAUAUAUACCAUUAAAACUACAUCAUAUAUAGCUUAGCUACUGCCCGUUUCCCUACAAGUAUAUCCCUAUUACACAUGCAUGCAACACUAUCUAUAUGUUGCUGCGCACUAAAGUUCCAUACAUCUUUUUAUUCAAGUUGUUACCUAUCUAUUAACACAACACUAAAAGGAUCACAUACUGAUCAUACACUUUUAAGUUCCUUAGCAACACAAAGCAUGCACUAGUACCAAAAAGAGGGCAAUUGCAUCAAUUGAUCUUGCGGCAAUUCGCCCUAACUUCUCCUUGACUCCCCUCCUUGACAUCAAGAGACCCCAUCUUCAUCAUCCCUUGUUGGAAGUUGAAGAAGAAGAUGGCUUGGUUCAUCGCAAAGAAGUUCACAAUUUGUUGAGUUUGAGGGGAAACAUAUAGUGUUUGGUCUGAAAAGAGCACGCCGUCGCCUUUCUGUAGUGCACUGAAGUAGAGGUUGUCGAAGGAGUUCGUCGUCGCGUCGAAGGGCUGGGCCGCGCUGUCUCCGGCGCUGCAAGUGUUCAACAGGGUCUUCGCGAAGGUAGGGUCCAUGCUCGGGUCGACGUCGUGGGUCGAGUCGAAGCUGCUGAGCCGACUUUUGAAUGAUGAGCACCUUGCAACACCUAAGGUGUGGCCACCUUAAACAAGUAGAACAAAAAGAGAGACAAUUUAGUGGAGUUGUGAUCAUUGUUUAAUAAUGUUUGUAAGUAGAUUUUAUAGUUUGCCUCUUCUUGAGUAACUAUGACAUGUUCGAGCUUUUGCAGUAGUACUAUUUAAGUAGAGUUAUUUAAAAAAGUACUGUAAUAAAAAAUGAAAAUUUAUCGUGAAGCUUCUACUACUAGAUCUAGAAGCUUAUUUGAAAUUGAUAUGGCAUAUGUUUAUAUUGUUUUCUCGAUCCAUUUUCUUUUUGCUUUCAAUCCAUCAAAGCAAACUGAUGCAAGUACAAAAAUAAUUCAACUUACAAAGUUUUGAAUUUAAUUCGAGUGACGACAAAUUUAAAUUGAGAAUCAGAACAUCUGGGAUUUACCGGACAAAGCCACCAACUCCCAAACCGUGAAUCCAUGCUGACUGAACACAUUGAUGAGCCCCGUGGUAUUGAGUGUCGGUGCCGGCAGGCUCGUAAAAGUGUCUUCCUGCUUCGACCUCGUCCCAUCUUUUCGCCCCUUGACGAUAUCGUAAUAUGGACCUCCGGCCUAAAAUUCAAUUCGUAAAAUGAUGGAAUAGCAUAACCUCGAAAUAUUGGUUGAAAAGAAUCAAGUGAAGACAAUUUUGCCAAGUUUUCAAUAAGCUAAAACUUGCUCAUUGUUUUGUAACAUGGUGUUCUUUUUAGAAAAACAUUGUAGUUCCUCAAAGUAGAGUUUAAGGAGAUGAAAGCGUAAAUCUGAUACCCAGAAAACUGCAUCUCUAGCUGCUAGUGCGACGAUAUCUGCGCACGAAACGAUUCCAGGGCAUUGCAUUUCGAGGAACUUUUUCGCUUGGUCGAUCACUUCGUAGCCUCGUAGGCUUAGAUUCACAGGCGAGUCCUUCUCUGCUGUGUUACCGCUUGUCGAAUCAAGUAGAACUGAGGCAUCACACCCCUGUCAUUUAAUGCCAAAAGAUGAAAAACAAAGAGAAAAAAAGACUCGGAGUUUCAAUUGUAACAAUUGAGUUCAUUUAGUUUGACAUAAUUUUCAUUUCGCCCCCGAAAUUUUGAUUUAGGCAAAGAAAAAAAAAAUUUCCAACAAUGAUACUGACGUUGCACGUCUCAAUUGUUAUGCAGAACAAACUUGAUGGACUAGAUUGUCACGAUCAAAACUAUGAGGAUUAAAAUGAAAUCAAAAGUUAAGUUCAAAAUCAUUUACUCUUUGCUAUUGACAAAGAUAAAGAUACAGUUGUAAUUAUUGAAGUAAAUAAGAUGAGAUAUUAUAUAUGUAUAUAUGAAGUAACUGUAAUUGAGAACCUGCACAAAGCAAUCAUGGAAGUGAAGCCUAAGAAGCCCUGCAGCAAGUGUUGGAUCCUUGUGCAAAGCUUGGUUCACGACGAUCCUCACGAUCGGCUCCACGAAGGGGCAACUCAUGCCAUAGUAGUUCAUGCUGAGAGCUUCUCCUCCUCUCAAGAUCACUUCUACAAGCACUAGAAACUCCACCACAUAGUAAGCACUUUUCAUCCUUAUAAUUUUCAGCAAAAACUGAAGUCGAGGAACGUCGAGUUCACAAUUUGGUGUGCACAAGUGAGUGUUUGUCUGUGUGUGUGUGUGUGUAUUUAUAUAAUUAAACCAUGAUUGAUUUAGUAGUAAUUAGACUAUACUUAAUAGACAAAGCAAAACCCACAUAAGAUAUAUACCACCAGGGGUUUGAGAUAAUCAUACAAUAAUUAAUGUUUGGUCAAAAAGUGUUACCUAGCAGUGCCAUAUCAUGUCAUGCAACUUAACUAAUUUGGCCCAUGAUGAAACUUUAGUGGACAUAUAUAUGUAGCACUUGAUAUGCAAACAAAAGUAUAAAAAAGAAAUAAAAAGAAGAUUUGUACAAGCACUUCAGAGCAUAAUGGAACCACCAAUAACGCUAGAAAACACGUAGAUAGGAAAUUGAUGGUGCAUAUAUAUGAACUACCACAGAAACAAGAGAAGCUACAAGUAUGAAUAUAUAUAAAGCACUUCUAUAAGGAAUCUGGUCCCUUGGAAUGAUUUUUUGUACCUGUUUAAGAGCCAAGUGGAAAGUGGGGCACUAUAGCUGGUUACCAUGAUCUCAUUGUCACAAUCUAGAGGUAGUGGAUCACUCUUCUUUCUUAAGCAUGAGCCGAAAUUGCGCGUGAGCUCGGCAUGCUUACGAUGGCCGACGAGCUAUGAGGAUUCGCGAUAGAGAGAGAAAAAAAAAUCUACAUUGUUACUCAAGCUUGGGCAUGUUCUUCAUGUUUUUGAAUAAAAAUUUUAAGAAGCACUUGGUCCUUAAGUGCUUAUCAAGAGGAGUUGUAUUUGCUGCUUUUCGGUAUAGCCGCCAUUACGCAAUUAGUUAUGUAAUGUGGAUUGCCUUGUUGUCGCCAACUUGUAGUUGACGAUUCGAGCAUGAUUUUGGUUUGCAGUAGAUCGCAGCGUCAUGGUGCAAAGCGAAAAGGAAGGAAAAUUGUUUGGAGUUUCCAUGAGAUAUAUAUGCUAAGGGUUCAUAUAGUGGACUGAGCACAAAAACAUACAUAAUUGUGAAUGAUCUUUGUAUUGAGACAAAAAAAAAAAAAAAGAAAAAAAAUCUACAUAAUAUGUCAUCAAAGUUGUGCAUAUAUGGUAUCUUAUUUUAGUUGAAUGUAUUGUCGCAUACGACAAAUUGAUAUUCGUUGACAUUGAUUUUCAAAAACUUGAAACAACUGUGAGAUUGAAACCGGUUAAGAAUUUUGGUUUGUGAUGUCUCUAAACAAUUUAGUACUCUUUUUUCUUUUGAAUUGUUAAACAGCAACGAUAGUUUGUUCUUGUAAUAAGAUCGAAAAGUCGGAGUCGUAGAAUUAGGUUACACACAAAUUAACCUAUUUUUAAUAUUGAGAGAUCAAUACUUAGGGACUGAUUGGUUUCACGUAGUUGUAACUGCACUGCAGUUGCAACUACAUGCGAAUCUAAAUUCGGUAUUUUGUUUAAUGCAUUUCAGUCCAACUACAGCAGUAGUUAGAGAGAGUAAAUGAAAGGUAGGCUUACAUCCUUUUAAGUAGAAAAUAUUUUCUUUUCAAUAUUGAAGGAAAUCUCACCAUCAUACAUAUAAAGUGAUAAAAUUUUAAAAAUAUACUUCUCAACUGCAUAUAACACUACAACAAAAACAGUCUAUAGCGACACUUUUAAAUGUCGGUAUAGGUCAAAAAAAGUGUUGCUGACUAAAUUACUGAUACUUUUAAAAAGUAUUGCUAUAUAUGGGGUCGCUAGGUAUAUAGUGACAGUUAAAGAGUGUCGCUAUAACCUAAAAAGAGUAAUGCUUAUUUAUCAAUACUUAUUUAAGCAUUUAGCAACCGCUGGAACUCUACUUUGUUGGCUGCGGUGGCGGAGGAGGAUGAGAGGGAAGGGCUCUUCGUUUAGAAUUUCAGUAGAUUGAGUGAGGGGAGAAGGGGAGAUGGUAAUUGAUUUUUCUUUUUUUUUUUCUUUUCUGUUUGUAAUCGAGCCGAAUAGGCUGGGUGGGGUGGGUUGAGUAGAAUAGCCUUUUAUUUUUGAUUGGAUUAGGCUUUAUAUUUAGGCAUUAGUAGAUUUUUUUUAAAGUUUUGGCAUAAAUGAGACACUUAUACAAAAGUGUCCCAAACAUGUGUCCCUAUAAUCUAAUUUUAUUGUAUAACCAAACAAAAUAUUUAUAAUUAUAGAACUUUCUACUAUAUCAAAAAAAACAUGAUGUACAUAAUUAUAACUGUAUGUCAUGUAUCUCUAACCAUACUGUACUUCUAAGUUCUAACUACAUCCAACCAACCAACGGCCACUUAUUAGUGUUUUCUCCUUGAGUCACAGUCUUAAUUUUCUAGAAUACUUGUCAACUGUGGCUUCUAUUCUAUUUAUCCAGGUGGAUUAGAUAAGUCUCAUAUUGGAGUACCCACUAGUUUGUGCUGUACUUUGAACUCUCACUAAUUCAGAAGAAUAACUAAUCUACUUCAGAUGACAAAAAUAAAAAUUCUACAAAACUUUUGACUGCUUGAGGGUAUUUUUACCACUUAAUUAACGAAGGUCUACUGAUGAAGGAAAUUUCAUGUUCUAAAUCCUAACUCAUUGCAACUCAUUUGGUUUGGUUUAUCAAAUUAAUUCUCAUGUGAAACAAUUAUUAUUCAUAUAUGUUUCCAAGAAGAAGUACUUUAGUAUAUUAUAUUUAACACUGUUUUCACGCCGGAGCAUAUAUAAAACAUACGAAAAGGUUUAAAAAUGUCAACAUCAAAUCAAAUUGGAGAAAAGUAAACGGGACUAGAGGAUUAAGUUUAAACUUCGAACCUCCUAUUCUACUGCCAUUUAAUUUUAUUUAUUUAUUUAUUUUUGUAAAGAACUUAAAAGCUUCCAGAUUGUUUUAGUACUUAUCUUCAAAACUUUCAUCAGACAGGAGAGAGCAGCACAUGUGAAGGCAGUGAUCCACUUUUAGCAACGGUGGAAAAUGAAUGUACCCCAACAAGCACAAAAAUGAUCAUGCAAUCCUUGAAAUUAUUAUUAUUUUUUUAAAAUAGAGAAUUGAUCUGGAAUUACUGGUAGCGAAACGUGGCAUGGAGGUGAUCGUGAUGUUUAAUUCCUACAAGAUUUGUUUUGUUUUGAGUGGACUGUACAACUGCAUGAAUUUGCUAAUAAUCGAUUGAGAAAUUACUCUAAUUUUAGAAUACUGAUAUAACGACCUGACCCGCUAGCAACAAUAACUCGUUGUGUAAACUGAUCGGAAUCAGUAUCCCAUUCGAUGUGGGACUAUUAGGGCAUUAUAAAAACUCCCCAUGUUUAGGCCCUGACGUACUUGUUGUCGGGUCCAAACCAGAUCACAGACAGACAGACCAGACGAUAUGAGAUUCUAGAGAUGGCUCCUACGGGUUCAAGAUGUGGUGUGAGAUUCUAGAGGUGGGGCUUUUACGGGUUCAAGAGGUGGCUCCCACCAAAUCCGUUGGUGUAACACUUUGUCCCGUAUAGCAUUUAGCUCUCACACUUCCGGCUGGUAUUCGGCUCUGAUACCAAAUAUAACAAUCCGACCCGUCAGCAAAAAUAACUCAUUGGGUCCAAACCAUCGGCCCAAAAUGUUUAAGCCAGUUAUUAUUAUUAUUAGUGUGUUGGCCUCAUAUAAACUGAUCGGAAUCGGUAUCUCAUCUGAUGUGGAACUAUUGGGGCAUUACAACUGAGCAGGUAUUUUGAUUAAUUGUAUCUAGCGUAGUUGGCUAAAAGUUUGAUAGUUGAUAGCAGACCGGAGUCUCUAUAUUAAUUAUCAUGUGUUGCAAAUUAAGUUUUAUCGACGGGUCGGGUCUUUCUCCAGGCCUAGCCCUUCAGCUCCUAAGAAGGCCCAUUAGCUCCCUUAGUUUUUUUUUUUUUUUUCCAAAUUUGCUAUAGUGCUGAGCAUGUAGCUUAUAUAUGUCCCAUGAAUUUCAUGUCACUACUACGAGAAAAUUAAUAUUUAAAGAUACUUUUUUUUUGGGUACUUAAUAAUGUUUAGAAGCGUUCUAAAAUAACCUACCAUCAUAUUUGAAAAUAUCGACAAAAGUAUUUGUAAAUGAAGAGUCGCCAUGUUUAUACCGACGCUUAUACCAAAACUCGAUAAAAUAUAUUCCGAAGUUUUAAAGCAUCAAGAUUUCAAAAUUUGUACCGACGCUUAUACCAAACGUCGGUAAAAUAUAUUCUAAUGUUUUAAAUCAUCAAGAUUUCAAAAAUUUAUGACGCUUUAAAGCGUCAGAAAAUUAAAAAUAAUAGUAAAGUUUGUCAUUCAAUAAAUUAGUUUGAUGCAAUAUACGACUUAUAUGACGAUAUUUUUUAAAUUAUCGAUGUUUGCUAUAUUAUAGGAAUAUAUAUUUGGAAACGUUUCCUCCGAGCGUCGUUCAAAAACCGUACUUAUAAUAACAUUUUCUUGUAGCGACACAUGUUCAAAAUUGCAAACUAAAGUAUCUUGAGACUUGAGUGCGUGUGUGUGUGUGUAUAUAUAUAUAUAUAUAUAUAUAUAGAGAGAGAGAGAGAGAGAGAGAGAGAGAGAGAGAGAGAGAGAGAGAGAGUUUGUGUGUGUUCAACUAGCAUAUUAUUACUUAAUUGUAUUGCAACGCAACUCUCUUUCUCUCUCUAUAUAUAUAUUUAUACCGUUAUGUGCUACUAACUCUAGUUAGUAUCUGUUAUUCUCUAGCAAUUGCUUCUAAAUUUUAAAUGACUAAAGUAAUGAGUGCUUCUGAUUAAUAAAUGUUUUAGUGCACUUUUAAGUACAUACAUGCAUGACAAAUUUGUGGUAUACUACUUUAACCAGCAAAUUUAUAGACAGAAACCAAAAACUUGGUUAAAGAUUUAUAGACAGAGAAAUCAAAAACUUGAUUAAAGAAACUUUCGACAUCAACACUCAAAUAAUUUUAAACACUCAAUUAAGUUGCUUCUUCUGACAAGAGAAUUCAUUUACUUCUUCUGAUACUUAUUUUUAUUUCAUAACCAAAUUGCGCACACCGAAAACAGCAGAAUUUAGAGAUCAGUACAAAUUAAGUGCUAGUGUUCAAACAUAUCAUUAAUUACCAAACACUUAUCACCUUAUGAUUGAUGUUGCUAGGACACUCAAUAAGCAAAAGGACACACACACACACACACAUACACACACACACACACACAAUUUAGAGCAAAUUUUUCGCAGCUGGAUCGGCUUUUAUUUCGUACCCGAGAUGAAGUGUGGUCUGAUCUUGGUGAUGCGAGUAGUGCGAUGCUGCAUCCAACAUACUGACAUGAUAGUAGUUUCUCGAAUCAAACGUCGGAAGAGCGUCCAAUUCGGUUCCACCGGAUACAAUGUUAGCCUGCUGCGCUCGCUCGCUGUCUGCUAUCUGAGGAUUCCAAAAUUUGAAAAGGGCACAGAUUUUUGCAGAUUGUAACAUCCUGGUACGUAAAUAGUCGCAUUUUUUUUGUUUUUGUAGGGUAAAUUGCACCAUUUUUGUUCCUGAUCAGACCUUUUAAUUGUUAAAUUUGUGUGUUCUUGUCCUUUGCAUUUCAUUGCAAUCUUACACUUUUUGGUUAAAUUGCACCAGUCACAUAAUCAUCAUCCAACUCCUAUGUGAACAAUUUAAGUACUUAGCCACAGAACUUUAAUGAAAAUGGUAAGAUUGCGACAUUAUGCAAAGAUUAGGGACUGAAACCUGCUUAAGCAAUCGAGAACCAGCAGUGCAGUGCAAUUUACCCUUUUUUUUUUUUUUUCAUGAUGUAUAAUUAGCUACACUCUUGAUUAUUUAUUGAACUUAAUUCCAAAAAAAAUUAACAAAAUCUAUUGUUCUGAGUUACCUUAGCUCUGAGGUGCAUAUUGUCAUUUUGAAGAUCUGCUUCCUACAUGUUAAAGAAGGCCAGAGGAGAAUCACUAUAGGAAGUAGCUUUAUAAGGAAAGAACAAUAAGAUAAGUGGAAUUAACUACAAGAGUUUUAGUUUAGUUCAAAAGUUUACCCUUUUCUGCAUGUAUUCGAUCUCCGCAAACAGCUGCUCAUGCUGUUUAUUCAGCAGAAAUUAACACAAGAUUAGUUAAGUAGAAUAUAGAGCUAAAAAAACCUACUAAAUUAAUGUGAAUAAAUUAAGUUAUCAUCAUUUAUUUAAUUACUUGAGAGAAUUAGGAUAUUUGAAACAUGGCAGGUUUUAUAUGAUUGUGGAGUAUUAGAGUUUACCUUCUUUGAUCUAAUCCGAGCAAUGCCUCUCUCGAGCCUGUUCUCGAGUUGCUUGAGCUCUUUAGCUGUCAAAUUACUCAGUGCUUCACCCAUGAGGUGCCUGAAAAUUAGUAGUGAUGCAUUUAAAACUAGUAAGAAGAGCAAAUCACACUUUUGAAGUUUUAAAACCAUAUAGAACAUAUUGCUAUAGAUUACCAUAAUAAGUGGGAGUUACAUUUCUAGAUUAAUAAGUACGUGUAUAUAUAGAGAGAGAGAAAGAGAGAGGGUUAAUUAACUUGUUUGCAUUUUGCAGAAUCUGUAUCUGGUGGCGGAGCUUCGCUGCUUCUUGCUGAUAGUAUUGCUGAUUAAACCAUGAAAACACAGUCAAGUUGAGAAAAGGAUAAAGAGCAAGUGACUAUAUAAGAUGAAUGAUUUAGUACUCUUUAUGGGGUUAUUAAUUUACAUCUCUUUGUUAGCUAUUUAAUUUUUCGAACAUCAACUAUUUUAGCUAACUUUCAUAGAUAAAACACUUCAUGCUUGCAAUAAAUAAUAAAAUAUAGCGCUUGUCUGACCAGACUGGAGCUUUUAUAAAAGUGUUGUUUAGAUAUUAUUGACUUACUAGUUUCAGCCUCAAAAUUAAGCUCAUUUUAAUUAUUUUUGUCACGCCAUUGGCCUGCUUCUUUAGAAUAUAAUUAGAGAAGCUAGUUUUGGAGAUGAGCAAAAGAAGCUCAUAUAUAGUUUUCUUGUAAAUCAAAUGAGCUAACACUUGAAGUCAGUAUUUAUGAAAGUAAUUAGCAGACAAGUACUGUUCAGAGAAAUAUACGAUCGAUUCCAAACAUUAAUAAGAAUGGAUCAAUAUCUCAUCUAUAUACAAGUAAUUAUCGCAUCACUCGCAUUAGCAACAUCAAAGCAUGCAUCAUUGCCAAAAAAUUCAUAUUCAUGUGAUUAAGCACUAUUAUUGAAUCUUUUUCCUCUGAAAAUUUUCGCAAUUGGCUUCUGAUAAGCAAACUAUAUAUGGAUAAUAUUUAGUCCAAACCAGUAAAUUUAUACCUCACUGAGUCGAGAAAUUGCCAAGAUGUUGUAUUACGAGAAAUGCUGAUAUGAAAUUUUUUGAAAAAAGAAAUGCUUACAUGAGAAUUGACCUCUACAGUGGAGCUUGAAUUUGGACUGUUGGAACAGGCCUUCUUGUACCUCUCAAUGGUUGAUCUUAUGCUGCAACAAACAUAGAAAAGUCGAAUUAUUUAUACACAUUUUGAAGGAUACAUUGUACGAUUAAACGAUUAACCAUAUGAAUAAAAUGGCUCAAAUUGUCGAUUUAAGGAUCGAAAGAAUGAUUCAGGUUUCUAUAAUUUUAAGAAAGAGGGGGUCUGUGUAAGAGAAGUUGGUUUAAUUCUUAUUUUUACUUAUUGAAAUCUCUUCUGACAUAAAUAUUGUUAUAUUCCCUUCUUUUACUUCAUUUCGGAAGGUUUUGCCACAGAAUAAUAAGACAAAUGGAUUUUAAUGAAAAUCCAAACAAAGUUAUAAUUUGAAUGGCAUAUUCACAUAUAAUUAGUAUUUGCAGCAAAUGCAUCAGAGGGUGCAAAAACACAAAAUGUUCUUUUUGCCUCUAAUUCAACUGUUCAGCUUCAUCUUGUGAUGCUAAAAUCUGCUUACAAUAAAGCAACUGUUGCACCAAAAGAUGAAAGAGCUGCAUAUAAAUGUGCCAUAUAUUAAACAAACAAAAAGUGGAAUAAAAUAACUUGAAUUUUUUUUCUUUCACUAAAGUGAAAUAAGUAUGUUGAGAAUAGUUUCAUUCAGUAUCUCUCUCUCUCUCUCUCUCUCUCUCUCUCUCUCUCUCUCUCUCUGAUUCUGUAGUUGCUUGACUACUUUUUGACACACAGUGUAGUUUUUCCUUUUUAAGCUCCCAAAGGAAACAUGCAUAUAUACACACCAGCUAAAUAAAAGGACCAGUUAUAUACACUCCUCUUCUAAUGUAACAAAUAUAAAAGCUUCAAUUCUUUUUCAUCUGUACAAAGCAAAAAGCAAGUCUCCUGAUUGUUUCAUGUAAAGUGUUCUAACAUGGAGAUGGAAACUGUGGCUUCUCUCCAUUGACCUUCCUUUGAGGUGCUAAGAAGUUAAUAUAUACCUUGUUUCUAAUGCCUAGCUAUAUAUAAUGCUUCUUUGUCACCAACUGUACCUCCUCAGGAGAGAGAGAGAGAGAGAGAGAGAGAGAGAGAGAGAGAGAGAUGACUGCAGCUAGAGUGUCCAGCAUAAUAUGUAAGACAAGAAAGGCAAGGCAAGAAAGAAGGGAAGGGAGGGAGGGAGGAAACCCUAAAGAUUGAAACUGCAUAUAUAUUGUAAUAAAUACCAUAGAAGGGCUAUAUAGCUAGUCAUGUUGUAUUCAUAUGGUGACAUGGAAAUUAUUAGCCAUUAGUAGAGGAGACCUCUCACAGUUUCCUCAACAUAUAUAUAUAAAAAAAGGAGUAUAGAGUAUAUCAAUCAAAUUAGAGGAAAAGAAAUAGCAUAUACACUGAGAGAUCUCUCAGUGAGGCAAAAACCCUCUUCACCAAAGUAAACAACAUACUUAAUUUGGAACUCUUCACACAUAUAUGACAAGAGAUAGAAGAUCUGCUCCUUCAGAAACUUAAUUUUGAGAAAUGAAAAAAAAAAAAAAGGAAGAGAAGAAAUGAAGAAAGAAGCAAACAUUAAUUGAUCCAAAAAAACUCAAACUCCUAGCUAUAGCUGCACUUUUUUCCUAGUCCAUAUAUAAUAAUACCCAUAAUAUAAGUGACAUACAAUUACUUAAAAAUCUUUUUAAUUACCAGUAAAAUAACACUAUAGUAUACAAGAAAGUUCCCAUUUUCAAAGGUCAUUCAUGGUUAUAUAUAUAUAUAUAUAUAUAUAUAAUAUAUAUAUAUAUAUAUAAUUAAGCACACCAUCAUGAAUUGAACAGGUAGUGAAAUAAUAUAUACUUUAAUUUACUUUCUUUAUAAUUAAAUCCCUUAAUGAUGCAAACUAUGUAUGUAUAUAUAUAUAGUGACACUUCAAUUGGAGUUGAGAAGGGAUAUUGAUAAUAUUAGAUGCUAACAAGAUGGUAAUUCUACCGAUUAUUAUUAAGAAAACAAAAUUAAUGGUAAUUAGAGGAGGAGAAAAGAAUUGAGUACAUCUAUACACCUGCUAUUCGAGUACUCGUAAAGCCGGCCUCGGGUAGAGAAGAUAACGAGGGCGAUCUCGGCGUCGCAAAGCACCGACAGCUCGUACGCUUUCUUGAGCAGGCCGUUGCGCCGCUUGCAGAAGGUGACUUGGCGGCUCGUCGUGUUCUCGAUCCUCUUUAUCUCAAUCUUUCCCCUCCCCAUUGUUAUUGUUAUUGUUAUUAUUAUUAUCUCUCUAGCUAGAUCUCCUUCACAAUUCCCUGAGUCAAGCAACAAUUUACACUACUUCAAAAACAUAUAUACUUGUUUAGAAGCUAUAUAUAUAUAGAGAGAGAGAGAGAGCUAUGGUUUCUUGCAAAACAAAUGAAAAUAAUAAUAACUACCAUGCAUGUGGCUGGAUCUGAACUUGCUAAUUGAUUUUUAGUUAUUAAUUUCAAAAUAAUUUAUCUCUACACCUCCACCUAGGCUCAAUCCUAGCUAGUAGAAUUUCACAAAAAAAAUGAAGAAAAAAGAAUUACCAAAUUGAAUAAUAAUAAUAAUAAUAAAUCUAUGGAAAAAUACCAUCGAUAAUUUUGUUUUUCUGAAAAAGAAGAAUUUAAUUAAUUAAGGUGGUUAAAAGAUUUCAUAGGUGAACAAGGAUUCAAGGUGAAGCGUGAACAAAUUUAAUUGAGCAACUCCAACAAAAUAAUUAUUAUGAGCUAGAUCUUAGAGGAUGAAAGAAGAACAGAAAUAAAUAUUUAGAUUUAAUUAUAUGAGAAAAUAGUUUGUAUAUAUAAUUAUUUCCUUAAGUUUUUUUUUUAUUUUUUAUAUUCCCCACUUUUUUGGUUUUUGGGAAGUGAGAGAAAUUAAGAACCAACCUGGGAACUGCUCAUAUAGAUUUAACUACUUCCAUAUGGAACUACCAAUGAAUCAAAAUAAAAGAGAAGUACAAAAAUUUAACUAAAACAAAACCCGUGGAUUAAACUCUUUAAUUUGAAGAAACAAAAGAGAAUGAGAAAACGUGUAUCCGAUCUAAUCAAUCAAACAACUCUUAUUUAUUCUGCUUCGUUAGUUAAUAAUUACCUCUUCCAUGAACAAAAAAGAAAAAAAGAAAGAUGUACAUAGGAAAAGAAAUCUAUAUAUAUAUAUAUAUAUAUAUAUAUAUCAUGAAGAAACAAACUAUGCUAUAUACAAAUUUCGUGGUAUAUGUGCAUAUAAUUACCACUUUAUAUAUAGCUUUUUUUUAGUCAUGCAUAGAUCUCCAGGAACUCCACUGUAGAGAGAGAGAGGGGUGUGAGGAAGAGGAAGAGAGAGAGAGAAGGGCACUGCAUGGGGUUGGCAUUGGAUGGAGGGGCUUUCCUUAUAAAGGAAGGAGGGAAAAGAGUGGCAGGAUGUAAUAGAGUUCCAACAGUUUAAUGUUGUACGGGUAUAACGAUCCGACCCGCUAGCAAUAAUAACUCGAUAAAUUUUAAAUUACCAGCCCAAAAUAUUUAAGUCUAAUUAUUAUUAUUAAGGUGGAAGUCUUGUAUAUUCCAACUAUAACCUAUUUUUCAUCCGAUAUAGAACUACUGAGGCGUUACAGACUCCAUGACACUAUCGGGGCGUUACAUACUCCACAUGUUUAGAUCCUAACGUUCUCAUCAGGUCCAAACCAGAUCACAAAUAUACAAACCAGAAUUACUAGGCGAUAUAAUAUUAGAGGUAAUUCUUACGGGUUCAAGAGAUGAGUCCCAUCAAAUUCGUUGGUGUGGUACUUUGCCUCAUAUAGCACUUAGCUUUUAUACUUCUUACCCAACAAGUUAUUACUGCUAACGGGUCGGAUCGUUACAAAUAUGUAGUGCUGAGGGUUAAAAGCUUGCUUAUUGAUGUCUGAGGUCAUAAAUUCAAUGUACAUCUAGUUGUUUUGCAUUGUUAACUGAGUUCAUUUGUAAAAAAGAAAAAGAAAAUUAAGAAGCGGACACCUUGCUAGCUAUUUCUCUCUCUCUCUCUCUCAAAAAAAAAAAAAAAAGUUUGAAAAGCUCAAAAGUAAUUUUAAUUUUCCUUCUUUAAAAUACAUAAAAUAAAAUUAAUAAUUUCAAUUUUAAUACUUGCAGUGCUAGCAUCUAUAUAUAGACGAUCCAAAUCCUUUGUGCUAAGGGAAUCUUCUUUCAUUCUAAGUAAUACUUAGUGUCAUUGAGAAAUGAGAGAUUCGAUUUGCAACUAAAACGUAGUUGUAAUCCUACAACAUCAUCAUUUAAGGGUAAACUUUUUUGCAGUAAUCUUAAAUAUCAAUUUUUUUUUUUUUUAAUUCUAAGAUUUUAAAAAGGUUUGUGUCUAACCCUAGGAAGGAAAUUAAGUUAUAAAAUUACAUCUCCCUUUUGGUUGCAGCCUUGUAUUUUGUUGAGAAAUAAGAGUGCAUGCAUGCAUGCCCAACAUAUCAUGGGUCAGAUUUUAUACUUGAUGAUAAAUAUCUUCAAAUCAAAAUUUUAAACAACACCACUUUGCAAUGCCCUAUUGAUGUAUUCAUAGAACACUUGCAUUUUUUUUUUUUUUUUUUUUGAAAGGGAAAGAUAACAAUCUACCCACUUCAUUCAUUUUGUUUAGAAAUGAACUUAGCUAAAAAUGUAAAGGUAUUGGACUUUGAACUUGGGACUUUAGAUACUAACCAUUUAGCUCUUAGCCAAUUGCGCUGAUAAACACAUGCAAUAUGUUGUGUUCCAAUUUUAAGGCCUCUGCAGUAGAAUGUUAGGAAAGGGUUGCAUCUGAUAUACUGAUACACUAGGUGCAAGCAAUAUAUAACUCAUCAUCGCGAAUUCCGAAUUAUUUAGUAUGUGCUUCAAUUAGCCUUCCUUCGAUUUAGCCUAGUUGUACCCAAUCAUCCUAUGAUUUGCAGAGCACAUAGACAGUUUGGUGGGCCAUAUGAUUCUACUCGUGAAUUUUAAAGAUCUAUUCCAAUCUUAAAGUUUUCAAUCCGAAUCUCAACACUGUAUUGAAUGACAGAUUUAGAGGGAACCUGAUAAGAUUGAAUGGGGAGCUCCUUAUUUAAGAUUUUUCUGGAUUUGUGGAGGUAUAUUCUUGUUAAUUCAUGUGGUGAUAGUGGGGGAAAGCUCUUUAAUCCAAAUGAUUAUGCAUGACCUCUAAAUCACCAGUGACUAUAAUUGGAAUUGUUGGGCCGAAUCGGACCAGGCCGUAGUCGAUCGGGGCUUUCGUGAGGCCCACACUUACGCCUCGGAUUUUUCCCUCAUAUAAUUACCCAAAUUAGUUAAACAUAUAUAGCUCAAUUUUGUGUUAUGCAUGUAUAAUUUUCAGAGAAUUGAAGUUCUACAGGAAUGUAACAAUAGAACCAUUUUUCUUCUUCUUUUUUUUUUUUUUUUUUUAAGAUAGGCUGGUGUAACUAUAGAGCUUAUGUAUGAAACCCCAAAAUGUUUUGUUGAAUCCUUUUUCAACUUUGGAGUUUGGACCACAAUAUAUAUUAUUCUCUCUUGCAUUAAAUGCUCUGAUAAAAGUUCAUAUAUUUCCACUUUUGUUACUAGGGCUACAUUUUUUCUAUUCAUGGAGGUGAUCCAUAUAUAGCACCUAUAUACCCUAAAUUAAGUAUCUAUAGGGGACCACAUAUUUAUGCUUUUUUCAAAGUAGAUGAAGCUUCACCCCUCUCGAAAGUUAUGUGGAGCUUGGAGGUAGGAGAAUGACAAUGACAUCCAUAUGUAAAUAUAUAUAGCAUUUAUGGCUCAAUAUCUAACUCUCCAAUGGAUUGCACCCUACAUGAUGAUGAUGUUUUUAUAAUACAUAAGAUGUUGAUGGGGUAAGAAAUCAUUGUGUUGAAUGCAUCUUUACAAGCAUAUUAACCAAAAGAAAAAAGGAAAAAAGAGGGGAGAUUAUACAUUUGCAUUGAUGUUCCUUCAACACAUUUGAAUUGCUCUAGAAUUAGGAUUAGAGUAUUGACUAGAAUGUCAUUCUGAGACAGACGCUGAGAAGUCGCCACAUAUCAUCAGUGAAUGACAAAGUUAUUUGGCGAUUGAGUAUCUGAUAAGUAAUAACAUAUCGUGGCAACUUCUGAGGGUUGCGAUCCACACGGUUGACGUUGUGGUCUAGGUCUAGACAAUGAUUUCUCCUGGUCUAUUCUUUUCAUAUGCACACACUACAUUAUACCAUCUACUAUGAUUUAACUCCUCUCCUGCAACUCUUCAUUGCCUCUCUCUCUCUCUCUCUCUCUCUCUCUCUCUCUCUCUCUCUCUCUCCCAACAAAGGGACCACUCUCUUCAAUCUCAAGUUUCAAUCACCAUAUAUAUAUAUAUAUAUAUAUAUAUAUAUAUAUACAUAUAUAUAUAUAUACAUAUAUAUAUAUAUACAUAUAUAUAUACAUAUACAUANAUCAUAUCUAAUACUGUACGAUUAAGAAAAUAAGAUUUGAAGCGCUUCAAAUCUGAUUGUUUUGUUUGUGAUUGAAAUAUGAGCUGAAAUAAACGUUACUUGUUACUUGUUACUUGUUACUUGUUACUUCAUUCGCAUUAGUAACUUGUUACUUCAUUCGCGUUCACAUCUUACUAUUUUGUAAUUUCUUUUUAUGUAAUAUUAGUCAUAUUUGUAAUUAUUAUUCUGAUUUCUCAAAGUUACUCAAUUUCUGUGUUACUCUUAAUGCUCAAUAUUUGGUUACAUGAAUUGAAUUAAUGUCGAUUUCUGGCUGUUAUAUAGUUCAUAGAAAACAUUGUUAUCUACGUACUUGGCCUCUUUAUUUUUAUAUUGUUUGCGUUAUAAAUUCAGGAAUCAACAAAUGUUGAAAAGCUAAUUUUUCUUCAUUUUUGUUUGCAGAUUUAUAAGAGGUGGUGAUGAGAAAUAUUUUGGCAGGUCAUUGGUGAUGUAUUGAAUCAAGUUUAAAAAUUUAGGCAUAUUUUGAAAACUUUACAUUUGAUAGCAUGUGGAAAUGACAAAAACACUAUUAUUGUGUUUUGUUUUUUGGUUUUGUUGGGUGAUUAUUUUACUUAUAUAUGAUGAUUCAGUUUUACUUAUAUAUAUUGUCCCAAACUUCUUUAUGUUGUGAGAGACACAAUUCGAUGCAAAAUGUAGAAUUUCUGAUUGUUGAUCUGUCGUUUGUUUGGAAAGCUUUCUCUCAUAUUUAUGAGAAUCGGCUCUCUUUGUCCCAAAUUUUAUUUGGUUUUGAGAAGCUUAAAUUGAAAUUAAAGGUUAAAAUUUAAGAAUGAGAAAUUUUUAUAACUAUAUGUUAUUUUUUAGCAAUUUAUACUAAAUCAAUAAUAUCUAUUACUACCAAUUAUAUUUUUUAAAAAAAUUAAUUUUAUAUCAGAAAAUGGUGGCGAUAAUAGUCGCUACCAUAAAACUGGUCAUAAAAAAGUCUCGCCGCUAAUUAUCUAACUUUUCGCGGCGACACUUAUUUGUCGCCGCUAAUUAUCUAACUUUUAGCGGCGACGGUAUGUCGCCACUAAUUAUCUAACUUUUCGCGGCGACCAUUUGUCGCCGCUAAUUAUCUAACUUAUAGCGGUGACACAUUGUCGCCACCAAAUAGUUUUACCGACGGGGUUUUAGGCGGCGGCAUGCGGCGACAGAUUGUCGCCGCCAAAACGUUUUUAGUGGCGACAAUGUUGGCUAUGGUGGCGACAUUUGUCGCCACUAAAUCUUGUAUCUGUAGU
Molecule: long non-coding RNA, 26316 nt
Filed under: Ananas comosus (pineapple)
Lineage: Eukaryota; Viridiplantae; Streptophyta; Magnoliopsida; Poales; Bromeliaceae
Description: long non-coding RNA (ACOM_LNC008472)
Source: RNAcentral